UUACUCCUACGGGAGGCAGCAGUAGGGAAUAUUCCACAAUGASCGAAAGCUUGAUGGAGCGACACAGCGUGCACGAUGAAGGUCUUSGGAUUGUAAAGUGCUGUUAUAAGGGAAGAACAUUUGCAAUAGGAAAUGAUUGCAGASUGACGGUACCUUGUCAGAAAGCGAUGGCUAACUAUGUGCCAGCAGCCGCGGUAAUACAUAGGUCGCAAGCGUUAUCCGGAAUUAUUGGGCGUAAAGCGUUCGUAGGCUGUUUGUUAAGUCUGGAGUUAAAUCCCGGGGCUCAACCCCGGCUCGCUUUGGAUACUAGCAAACUAGAGUUAGAUAGAGGUAAGCGGAAUUCCAUGUGAAGCGGUGAAAUGMGUAGAUAUAUGGAAGAACACCAAAGGCGAAGGCAGCUUACUGGGUSUAUACUGACGYUGAGGGACGAAAGMGUGGGGAGCAAACAGGAUUAGAUACCYUGGUAGUCCACGCCGUAAACGAUGAUCAUUAGUCGGUGGAGAAUCACUGACGCAGCUAACGCAUUAAAUGAUCCGCCUGAGUAGUCUGCUYCCAAGAGUGAAACUUAAAGGAAUYGACGGGGACCCGCMCAASCUG
RNAcentral lists this ribosomal RNA (597 nucleotides) under uncultured bacterium. Its description in RNAcentral is "partial 16S ribosomal RNA". It matches the Rfam family "Bacterial small subunit ribosomal RNA", at positions 333 to 932 of the family's 1533-position model. The record is from RNAcentral.